Molecule: ribosomal RNA, 303 nt
Filed under: uncultured bacterium
Lineage: Bacteria
Description: bacterial SSU rRNA
Rfam family: Bacterial small subunit ribosomal RNA
Source: RNAcentral
UGGGGAAUAUUGCACAAUGGGGGAAACCCUGAUGCAGCGACGCCGCGUGAGUGAAGAAGUAUUUCGGUAUGUAAAGCUCUAUCAGCAGGGAAGAAAAUGACGGUACCUGACCAAGAAGCCCCGGCUAACUACGUGCCAGCAGCCGCGGUAAUACGUAGGGGGCAAGCGUUAUCCGGAUUUACUGGGUGUAAAGGGAGCGUAGACGGCUGUGCAAGUCAGAAGUGAAAGCCCGGGGCUCAACCCCGGGACUGCUUUUGAAACUGCGGAGCUGGAGUGCAGGAGAGGUAAGCGGAAUUCCUGGUG